CUCAUCCAUGGCACACCUGGCAUGGGUGAACUCCUUCAAUGUGCCACACCUGCAGCUGGUGGACGAUGGCCUCACGGACCUCCACAGCGGUCCCACAAGACCCGCAAGGCCCCCCCACUGCUCUCUUAACCUGGCAGCUGCUGCCUUAUAAAAGUACAGUUGUGAAUUUGACUCCACGAAGUAUUAUGCAUUGUGUGGCUCUCGUGGGGUCUUAGGUUGUGGUCUGACACACACUGCGGUCAUUCCCCUGGGUUUAGUGAAAUGCUGUAUGCAGGUGGACCCCCAAAAGUAGAAGGGCAUAUUUAAUGGAUUCUCAGUUACACUUAAGGAGGAUGGUGUUCAUUCUUUGGCUAAAGGACAGGCUCUGACUUUCAUUGGCCACUCCAUGCAGGUGUUCUGCAAGUUUGGCUUUUAUGAAGUCUUUAAAGUCUUGUAUAGCAACAUACUCCCAGAGCAUGUUAUCUCUGGUGCACAUCACUGUAUUUGGCUGCCUCUGCCAGUGCUGAAUUCUUUGCUGUAAUUGCCCUAUGGAAGCUGCUAAGGUUCAAAUUCAAACCCAACCAGGUUAGACCAAGACUUUGAGGGAUGCAGCUCCCAAGAUGUAUAAGGAAGAAGGCCUAAAAACAUUCUACAAAGGGGUUGCUCCUCUCUGGAUGAGACAGAUAGCAUAUGCCAUGAUGAAGUUUGCCUGCUUUUAAGGUACUGUUGAAGCAUUGUACAAGUUUGUGGUUCGGAAGCCCUGUGGUGAAUGUUCAAAGACAGAGGAGCUGGUUGUAACAUUUGUAGCAGGUUACAUACCUGGAGUGUUUUGUGCAAUUGUUUCUCACCCUGAUGAUUCUGUGGUAUCUGUGUUGAAUAAAGAAAAAGGUAGCAGUGCUUC
This 880-nucleotide long non-coding RNA is filed under the name Homo sapiens (human). Its description in RNAcentral is "non-protein coding lnc-ERP29-2:1". The record is from RNAcentral. Lineage: Eukaryota; Metazoa; Chordata; Mammalia; Primates; Hominidae.